CUGUGCAUUGGCCAUGUGUCAGGUGUCCAUAUGCUGCCAUUUCACUGCCUUUAGGAAAUUUUGCUGUUGCAUGUCCUUUGCAAACAGACACCUUGCCAAAGUGAAGGCUAAGGAGACGGAUAUUGCAGUAGGUGCUCUCAGGUCUCUUUUUCAGUAUUGCUGGUGCCACUAUGGAAAAUGAAAAAUCCUGAACUCCAGUCUGCCAUCACCCAAGGGUGCUUCUGGUCCCUGUGAUCCCCCAGGAUGGACUAAUGCCAGCCAUUCCCCCUCCAGCACUGCUGAUAUUGCUGCCCAAAUUCUGCAGGGAAGGAGGCAGGUGAGGUGCAUGAGGUGCCUUGCUGGGAUGGCUUUGCACAGGAGAUAAACCUGGUCUUUCUGCAUUUCUGUGCUGGGCUGUGCAAACAUCAGGCUUUGAGGACUCCUUGAACCUGGAACAGCAGUAGAAAUGCAAUGUUGUUUUUCCCUUAUCCCAUUUGGAUAAUUUGAAUAUGGUUGUUUGUCACUCUUUAUCCUGGUUACUCAGGAACUCCCAAUGAACUGGUCCUGCAGAAUCACAGAAUGGUUUGGGUUGAAAGGAGCCUUAAAGACCAUCUUGUUCCAACCCCCAGCCAUGGAAUACCUGUUCUUUAUGUGGUAGUGAAAAAAACAACAGUGGUGUGCUGUAUCACUCCUGGCCCUUGGUCUGCUGGUAGCUGAGAGGGUCCCAUCUUGGUGUUACUGUCACAGGAAGCAACUCUGCACCACCAGAAGCCUGUACUGAAGCUCAUGGAGGAAUCUGAACCAGUGACUCAAGAGGAUGAAGCUGGGUUUUGUCUAUUUGGACUUUGAAUAUUUUGUGUGGUUUUGCAGAUAAAACAGUAGCCCUGAGGCUCAGAAGAUCUUCAUUCUUUCCUGAUCUCUGUAGAAGAAAUGCACUUCAUCUGUAAAAUAGGGAUGGAGAUUCUUCUUGUUGGAGGAGGGAACAGCUCAGGUCUCUGUCAGCCCACACCCAUUGCUCUGAACAGCCCUGCAAGUGCUUCCAGGGAAGCUGCUGGACAGCAUCCAGACUGGGAAAAGGAACCGCCUGAGUUUAUCAGCGGAGUUCCAAGCUUUGGAUGGAUAUUCCUGCUGCAAAGUUGCCAAGGCUAUCCCUGUACUGAACCACACCCAGCAGCACUGAAGGGAAAUUCAGGCAUGCCAGGGGUAAGCGGGAUGGCUGGGACCACACAGUCACCCAGCAACAGAGAUCAAUAUUAUUUAGGUCUCUUCUCCCUCGUCUGAUUGCUCUGGCCUGGUUGUUGCGUUGCACUUGGCUUUCAGCAGGGGCAAGGACUGGCAGGAGCUGUCAAUAUGUUGGGAGUGAGGCUGAUUAACCCUCCUCGCUUCAAAAAUGAGGAUUGGGAGGAGUGUAGUGGAAGCAUCUGCAGGCAGAUGUUCCCAUGCCAUCCUAUGCUGCUCAGAGCUCUGCACAGGGUGUCGGUCGACCUCCACCCUGUGGGACCCAAUGGACCUUGGCCGGACCAGGCAGAGUCCUCAGGGCUGUCGACUGACAAACGCUUCUGUUUUGGGGUGGGAGGGAGUCUGUCCCCUGCGGUGUAACUGCUGCCCGGCGGGUCUGGUCCCCUGGAGGCAGCCGGCACUGCGUCCCACGCUCCUGCCGGGAGCAGCAUCGCUGGGCUUCCUGCAGGAAUCGCUCCGUGGGGUGUCUGGAAGGUGCCCGUGGGGGAGGUGAGGAGCCAUCAGGAAGUGCAGCUGAACGAGGUACCUGCAGACCUGAACCUUGGUGGUAUCUGUCUCUGGAGCCGUGACAAUGCCAGAGCCGCUGUCGGACUUCAGAGCUCAGAGCUCUGGAGACGGUCCAGAACCGCCCGCCGCUUGUGCGCCUUUCUCACAGUGGGGACUGCAGGAGGGCCGCGCUGGACAGACGGACAGAGGGACAGGGAUUGCUCCGCGCUGCUGUUGGGAUGUGCGGCCGAGUCUCGCUUGGCCGCGGUGACGGGCACUCCCUCUAUUGACUUCUGCCGAAGUUGCAUCCUUUCAUCCAGCAGUGUCCCUGGCUCUGGUGAUAAUAGCACCUUCCCUAAUGUCUGUAGCCCUCACUAAACCACAGACCAGACUGAUUAUUGCUGCUUUUGUAGCCUUUGCAGAGCUGUUUUUUAUUUAUAAUUGCACCCCACUGGUCUCUUCAUAAUGAUUUUCCCGGCUGCAUCCUAUGCGGUCCACUGCUGCAAAGCCACAUUUUCAUAGAGGCUGUUGUUGGUUUUAAUCCAGCUUGUUAUUUGGAUGAUAUAUUAAUAGCAAUAUCUCUGUGAAGCUUUAGAGUGUUUUCUUUUCCAAAACAUUUACAAUAAAAUCUAAGUGUUA
RNAcentral lists this long non-coding RNA (2343 nucleotides) under Serinus canaria (Common canary). RNAcentral describes it as "lncRNA (ENSSCAG00000003808.1)". The record is from RNAcentral. Lineage: Eukaryota; Metazoa; Chordata; Aves; Passeriformes; Fringillidae.